RNAcentral lists this ribosomal RNA (2822 nucleotides) under Escherichia coli. RNAcentral's name for it is "bacterial LSU rRNA". It matches the Rfam family "Bacterial large subunit ribosomal RNA". The record is from RNAcentral. Lineage: Bacteria; Pseudomonadati; Pseudomonadota; Gammaproteobacteria; Enterobacterales; Enterobacteriaceae.
GGGUUGUGAGGUUAAGCGACUAAGCGUACACGGUGGAUGCCCUGGCAGUCAGAGGCGAUGAAGGACGUGCUAAUCUGCGAUAAGCGUCGGUAAGGUGAUAUGAACCGUUAUAACCGGCGAUUUCCGAAUGGGGAAACCCAGUGUGUUUCGACACACUAUCAUUAACUGAAUCCAUAGGUUAAUGAGGCGAACCGGGGGAACUGAAACAUCUAAGUACCCCGAGGAAAAGAAAUCAACCGAGAUUCCCCCAGUAGCGGCGAGCGAACGGGGAGCAGCCCAGAGCCUGAAUCAGUGUGUGUGUUAGUGGAAGCGUCUGGAAAGGCGCGCGAUACAGGGUGACAGCCCCGUACACAAAAAUGCACAUAUUGUGAGCUCGAUGAGUAGGGCGGGACACGUGGUAUCCUGUCUGAAUAUGGGGGGACCAUCCUCCAAGGCUAAAUACUCCUGACUGACCGAUAGUGAACCAGUACCGUGAGGGAAAGGCGAAAAGAACCCCGGCGAGGGGAGUGAAAAAGAACCUGAAACCGUGUACGUACAAGCAGUGGGAGCACGCUUAGGCGUGUGACUGCGUACCUUUUGUAUAAUGGGUCAGCGACUUAUAUUCUGUAGCAAGGUUAACCGAAUAGGGGAGCCGAAGGGAAACCGAGUCUUAACUGGGCGUUAAGUUGCAGGGUAUAGACCCGAAACCCGGUGAUCUAGCCAUGGGCAGGUUGAAGGUUGGGUAACACUAACUGGAGGACCGAACCGACUAAUGUUGAAAAAUUAGCGGAUGACUUGUGGCUGGGGGUGAAAGGCCAAUCAAACCGGGAGAUAGCUGGUUCUCCCCGAAAGCUAUUUAGGUAGCGCCUCGUGAAUUCAUCUCCGGGGGUAGAGCACUGUUUCGGCAAGGGGGUCAUCCCGACUUACCAACCCGAUGCAAACUGCGAAUACCGGAGAAUGUUAUCACGGGAGACACACGGCGGGUGCUAACGUCCGUCGUGAAGAGGGAAACAACCCAGACCGCCAGCUAAGGUCCCAAAGUCAUGGUUAAGUGGGAAACGAUGUGGGAAGGCCCAGACAGCCAGGAUGUUGGCUUAGAAGCAGCCAUCAUUUAAAGAAAGCGUAAUAGCUCACUGGUCGAGUCGGCCUGCGCGGAAGAUGUAACGGGGCUAAACCAUGCACCGAAGCUGCGGCAGCGACGCUUAUGCGUUGUUGGGUAGGGGAGCGUUCUGUAAGCCUGUGAAGGUGUGCUGUGAGGCAUGCUGGAGGUAUCAGAAGUGCGAAUGCUGACAUAAGUAACGAUAAAGCGGGUGAAAAGCCCGCUCGCCGGAAGACCAAGGGUUCCUGUCCAACGUUAAUCGGGGCAGGGUGAGUCGACCCCUAAGGCGAGGCCGAAAGGCGUAGUCGAUGGGAAACAGGUUAAUAUUCCUGUACUUGGUGUUACUGCGAAGGGGGGACGGAGAAGGCUAUGUUGGCCGGGCGACGGUUGUCCCGGUUUAAGCGUGUAGGCUGGUUUUCCAGGCAAAUCCGGAAAAUCAAGGCUGAGGCGUGAUGACGAGGCACUACGGUGCUGAAGCAACAAAUGCCCUGCUUCCAGGAAAAGCCUCUAAGCAUCAGGUAACAUCAAAUCGUACCCCAAACCGACACAGGUGGUCAGGUAGAGAAUACCAAGGCGCUUGAGAGAACUCGGGUGAAGGAACUAGGCAAAAUGGUGCCGUAACUUCGGGAGAAGGCACGCUGAUAUGUAGGUGAAGUCCCUCGCGGAUGGAGCUGAAAUCAGUCGAAGAUACCAGCUGGCUGCAACUGUUUAUUAAAAACACAGCACUGUGCAAACACGAAAGUGGACGUAUACGGUGUGACGCCUGCCCGGUGCCGGAAGGUUAAUUGAUGGGGUCAGCGCAAGCGAAGCUCUUGAUCGAAGCCCCGGUAAACGGCGGCCGUAACUAUAACGGUCCUAAGGUAGCGAAAUUCCUUGUCGGGUAAGUUCCGACCUGCACGAAUGGCGUAAUGAUGGCCAGGCUGUCUCCACCCGAGACUCAGUGAAAUUGAACUCGCUGUGAAGAUGCAGUGUACCCGCGGCAAGACGGAAAGACCCCGUGAACCUUUACUAUAGCUUGACACUGAACAUUGAGCCUUGAUGUGUAGGAUAGGUGGGAGGCUUUGAAGUGUGGACGCCAGUCUGCAUGGAGCCGGCCUUGAAAUACCACCCUUUAAUGUUUGAUGUUCUAACGUGGACCCGUAAUCCGGGUUGCGGACAGUGUCUGGUGGGUAGUUUGACUGGGGCGGUCUCCUCCUAAAGAGUAACGGAGGAGCACGAAGGUUGGCUAAUCCUGGUCGGACAUCAGGAGGUUAGUGCAAUGGCAUAAGCCAGCUUGACUGCGAGCGUGACGGCGCGAGCAGGUGCGAAAGCAGGUCAUAGUGAUCCGGUGGUUCUGAAUGGAAGGGCCAUCGCUCAACGGAUAAAAGGUACUCCGGGGAUAACAGGCUGAUACCGCCCAAGAGUUCAUAUCGACGGCGGUGUUUGGCACCUCGAUGUCGGCUCAUCACAUCCUGGGGCUGAAGUAGGUCCCAAGGGUAUGGCUGUUCGCCAUUUAAAGUGGUACGCGAGCUGGGUUUAGAACGUCGUGAGACAGUUCGGUCCCUAUCUGCCGUGGGCGCUGGAGAACUGAGGGGGGCUGCUCCUAGUACGAGAGGACCGGAGUGGACGCAUCACUGGUGUUCGGGUUGUCAUGCCAAUGGCACUGCCCGGUAGCUAAAUGCGGAAGAGAUAAGUGCUGAAAGCAUCUAAGCACGAAACUUGCCCCGAGAUGAGUUCUCCCUGACCCUUGAAGUCCUGAAGAACG